RNAcentral lists this ribosomal RNA (453 nucleotides) under Cardiodactylus nobilis. Its description in RNAcentral is "partial large subunit ribosomal RNA". It matches the Rfam family "Archaeal large subunit ribosomal RNA", at positions 1918 to 2610 of the family's 2987-position model. Lineage: Eukaryota; Metazoa; Arthropoda; Insecta; Orthoptera; Gryllidae. The record is from RNAcentral.
CUUCUUGAAUAUGGUAUUGGAAGUCUGGCCUGUCCACUGAUAAUUAAUUGAAGGGCCGCGGUAUUUUGACCGUGCAAAGGUAGCAUAAUCAUUAGUCUUUUAAUUGAGGACUGGUAUGAAUGGUUUGACGAAAUAGUAACUGUCUCAUAUAUAAUUAAUUGAAAUUUACUUUUAAGUUAAAAGGCUUAAAUUAUGAUAAGGGACGAGAAGACCCUAUAGAUCUUUAUAAUUGCUUUAUAUUAUUAAAUUUGGUUGUUAAAUUAUUUUAUAGUUUUUGAUUAUUUAUUUGGGGUGAUAUGAGAAUACAAUAACUUCUUAAUUUUUAACUUUGAUGAAUGAAUAUAAGAUCUUUUAGUUAUGGAAAUAAGAUUAAGAUACCUUAGGGAUAACAGCGUUAUUUCAUUGGAGAGUUCUUAUUGAUAAUGUGGAUUGCGACCUCGAUGUUGGAUUAAG